GAAUACAUGGGUUUGAUCCUGGCCCAGAAUGAAUGCUAGCAACAGGCCUUAUACAUGCAAGUUAAACAUAUUUUAUAUGUAGCAAACGGGUGAGUAACACGUGAGAAUCUACCCAUAUGGCUGGUUAAAUACCGGAUAAAAAGGUGAAAUCCCUAUAUGGAUGAGCUCGCGUAGGAUUAGGUAGUUGGUGUAGGUAAAAGCUCACCAAGCCAUCGAUCCUUAGCUGGUCUGAGAGGAUGUCCAGCCACACUGGGACUGAGACACGGCCCAGACUCAAUAUAUGAGGCAGCAGUAAGGAAUCUUAGACAAUGGGCGAAAGCUUGAUCUAGCUAUGUUGCGUGGGUGAUGAAGGCUAUAUCAGUCGUAAAGCCCUUUUCAAUAAUGGGAAUUGUGAUGUCCAUAUUGGAAUAAGCCCCGGCAAAUUCCGUGCCAGCAGCCGCGGUAAUACGGGAGGGGCAAGUGUUAUUCGGAAUGAUUGGGCGUAAAGAGCUUGUAGGUGGCGUACAGUGAUAAACGGUGCCAUCCCAAGGCCUAACCUUGGGAAUGCCUUUAAUACUUGUAUGCUAGAGUAUGUAUAAGGAAAGUGGAAUGCCAUAUGGAGCGGUUAAAUGCGUAGAUAUAUGGAGGAAGACCAAAAGCGAAGGCAACUUUCUGGUACAUGACUGACACUGAGAAGCGAAAGCGUGGGUAGCGAAUGGGAUUAGAUACCCCAGUAGUCCACGCCGUCAACGAUGAGUGUUUAUUGGGUGUAAGUUUAUUUAUGCUUGAUUCAGCUAACGCGUAAACACUCCGCCUGGGGAGUACGGCCGCAAGGUUAAAACUCAAAGGAAUUGACGGGGGCUUGCACAAGCGGUGGAGCAUCUUGUUUAAUUCGACAAUACGCGCAGAACCUUACCAACCCUUGAAUAACUGAGAACUAUAAAUGUAAGUUUAUAUGUAUGCCAGUUACAGGCGCUGCAUGGCUGUCGUCAGUUCGUGGCGUGAGCUGUUAGGUUAAGUCCUAGAACGAACGCAACCCUUGAUACAUAUUAAUUUCUUAUGUAUGACCGCCGGUUAUACACCGGAGGAAGGUAAGGAUGACGCCAAGUCCUCAUGGCCCUUAUGGGUUGGGCUACAAAGGUGCUACAAUGGCGACUACAAUCGGUAGCAAUGGUGUGAACCGGAGCCAAUCCUCAAAAGUCGUCUCAGUUUGGAUUGUUCUCUGCAAUUCGAGAACAUGAAAGUGGAAUCGCUAGUAAUCGCGGAUCAGAACGCCGCGGUGAAUAUGUACCCAAGCCUUGUACACACCGCCUGUCCCAUUUAGGAAAUAGGUUACACCUGAACCUGUAUCUAUUUAUAUAACCUAUAUAUGUAAAUAUAUAUGUUUAUUGCUAAGCUUAUAUACGUAUAUACAAUUUAAGGUAUGGUCUGUAACUUAAAUGAAGUCAUAACAAGGUAGCCGUAGGGGAACCUGCGGCUGGAUCGACUCCUUUU
RNAcentral lists this ribosomal RNA (1473 nucleotides) under Chloroparvula sp. RCC4572. RNAcentral's name for it is "SSU rRNA". It matches the Rfam family "Bacterial small subunit ribosomal RNA". Lineage: Eukaryota; Viridiplantae; Chlorophyta; Chloropicophyceae; Chloropicales; Chloropicaceae. The record is from RNAcentral.